CCUACGGGGGGCAGCAGUGAGGAAUAUUGGUCAAUGGUCGGGAGACUGAACCAGCCAAGCCGCGUGAGGGAGGAAGGUACCGAGCAUUGUAAACUUCUUUUGUCAGGGGACAAAGUCUGGGUCGCGUCCCUGGCCGAGUGUACUUGAAGAAAAAGCAUCGGCUAACUCCGUGCCAGCAGCCGCGGUAAUACGGAGGAUGCGAGCGUUAUCCGGAUUUAUUGGGUUUAAAGGGUGCGGAGGCGGUCUGUUAAGUCAGCGGUAAAAGCCCGGGGCUCAACCCCGGCCCGCCGUUGAAACUGGCUGUCUCGAGAUGGCGAGAGGUAUGCGGAAUGCGCAGUGUAGCGGUGAAAUGCUUAGAUAUCGCGCAGAAAUCCGAUUGCGAAGGCAGCAUACCGGCGGCGCUCUGACGCUGAGGCACGAAAGCGUGGGUAUCGAACAGGAUUAGAUACCCCUGUAGUC
This 459-nucleotide ribosomal RNA is filed under the name uncultured bacterium. RNAcentral's name for it is "partial 16S ribosomal RNA". It matches the Rfam family "Bacterial small subunit ribosomal RNA", at positions 338 to 795 of the family's 1533-position model. The record is from RNAcentral.